GCUCCUACGGGAGGCAGCAGUAGGGAAUCUUCCACAAUGGACGAAAGUCUGAUGGAGCAACGCCGCGUGAGUGAAGAAGGGUUUCGGCUCGUAAAGCUCUGUUGGUAGGGAAGAAAGAUAGAGGGAGUAACUGGCCUUUAUUUGACGGGAAUUACUUUGAAAGUCACGGCUAACUACCUGCCAGCAGCCGCGGUAAUACGUAGGUGGCAAGCGUUGUCCGGAUUUUUUGGG
Molecule: ribosomal RNA, 231 nt
Filed under: uncultured bacterium
Lineage: Bacteria
Description: partial 16S ribosomal RNA
Rfam family: Bacterial small subunit ribosomal RNA
Source: RNAcentral